UGGUACAAUAUUAUCCCGCAGUAAAAGCUCCACGUCCAUGUGAUGGGCGAUUAGAUGUUGAAUUCGUAACGCACGGAAGACCUUCUCGAAGCAGGCACCUUCUUCAGUCAAUAAGUAUGGAACUUGACCUGUAAAAUGCAGCAAUAUCCCUCGAUCCAAUACUCUCAUCACACUCCGGAUGAGUUUGUAAGUACAUCCAUUGAGACAGCAGGACAUACAGGGUGAUUUCAGUCUUCAUCACGCAAAGCCCCGGAUGUCCCACCAGGUGCUCCAUUAAAGUGACAGGAAUGGUACGCAGGUCGUUCAGACUAUUAUUAUAGUACAUCAUUAGAUUCAGCAGAAACCACUGCACGCACUGGUCGCGCAGUUUUACGUCUCCGUAUUGGCACGCGGCGUCGUAAUAGUGCAACGCCGUAUGGGGAUUGAUUGUCUCAAGCAUUACUUCACCGCAGCGUUCGAUCACGCCAUUCAGUUGCAGCAUUGUUGCUGCGGCUAAGACACUCACGACGCCAAGGGGUUCUAGGUGUAGCUCAUCGCUGUAGAGUGCACCUAGUACUGUCCGCAGCGCAUCCUUGGUAAUCAGUGGGUCAACCACGUCGAUUUCAAUGCGUGUCUCGCCGGUUUCCUUCCAGUUUCCGCCGAACAUACUGGCGAAAUAGGGACUCUGGCCGAGAUACACUUUGUGAAGGGCGAAUUCUUCGUCGAGGGCUACGACAGUCACGUCGCUGUCGCGGCCUUCCACGAAGAGGGCUUGGUAAAUGUAUUGGACAGUGCUGCAUAGUUUUUUUCUGCAAAAUGAAAAAGUUUCUUAAUAAUUAAUUAAUACUUAAUUACAACUAGGUAGUUUUAUGUCACGCAUAGUACCGAAUUAAUGGUUGACAUUAACAACGUGUGUAAAAUUUGUGUUUUAUGCACUGCACGGAAAAUUAAUUAGUAAUUCAGGUCUGUCCGGCCAUAUAUGCAUUCCUCAAUGCGACCCAUCGAAUUUAAUGAGGCUUUUCAUUUAAAAUACGGACAAUACAAGGCCACGACGUGUAGUGUGAUAAACACCGACCUGAAUCAUCGAACAAUUGAUUUUUAUUUAAUUUAAAAAAUAGCAGAAUUAUAAAAAUAUGCUUCAUAACUUUUAAAUGCAUCGAAACUAAGUGAAACUUAUCGUAAAACGAAACAUGAAACAAACGUACACUGUUCAGGAAGUUCUCAGACUUAUCCAAGCAUAAACUGAACAUGAAUAAUAAUAUUCUACAGUUGAUAAGCGCAAAUUCUUGAUUACACAAAGGUGUAAAUUUGUAUGUUCUAAAGUAGCUGGAAAAUGUCACCGUCUACCGGUAGUUGUGCGGUAACUUUCGACGAUGACUUCAUCACUAUAAAUACAUACAAAGUCAUAAAACAUAAA
Long non-coding RNA from Dalotia coriaria, 1396 nucleotides. RefSeq lists it as uncharacterized. NCBI's taxonomy places the organism in Eukaryota, Metazoa, Arthropoda, Insecta, Coleoptera, Staphylinidae. The transcript has 2 exons. The record is from RefSeq and is a predicted model, not a curated record.